This 468-nucleotide ribosomal RNA is filed under the name uncultured bacterium. RNAcentral describes it as "partial 16S ribosomal RNA". It matches the Rfam family "Bacterial small subunit ribosomal RNA", at positions 28 to 507 of the family's 1533-position model. The record is from RNAcentral.
GACGAACGCUGGCGGCGUGCUUAACACAUGCAAGUCGAACGGAAAGGCCCUGCUUUUGUGGGGUGCUCGAGUGGCGAACGUGUGUGUAACACGUGAGUAACCUGCCCUUGACUUUGGGAUAACUUCAGGAAACUGGGGCUAAUACCGGAUAGGAGCUCCUGCUGCAUGGUGGGGGUUGGAUAGUUUCGGCGGUUGGGGAUGGACUCGCGGCUUAUCAGCUUGUUGGUUGGGUAGUGGCUUACCAAGGCUUUGACGGGUAGGCGGCCUGAGAGGGUUACCGGACAAAUUGGGAAUGAGAUACGGCCCAGAAUGAAACGGGAGGAAGGAGGGGGGAAUAGUGAAAAAUGGGAGGAAGCAUGAUGCAGAAACGCAGCGUGCGGGAUGACGGCCUGCGGGUUGUAAACAGAAUGAGAAUGUGAAGAAGAGUGAGUGACGGUAAUGGGUAAAGAAGCACCGGCUAACUACGUG